GGCUUUAUAUUCAAGAAUGAUUUAAAAUUGCAAAUUUUAAGGGGUAGAAAAAUUUACUAAGGCUU
This 65-nucleotide transfer RNA is filed under the name Casmara patrona. RNAcentral describes it as "tRNA-Cys". The record is from RNAcentral. Lineage: Eukaryota; Metazoa; Arthropoda; Insecta; Lepidoptera; Oecophoridae.